RNAcentral lists this ribosomal RNA (492 nucleotides) under uncultured bacterium. RNAcentral describes it as "partial 16S ribosomal RNA". It matches the Rfam family "Bacterial small subunit ribosomal RNA", at positions 29 to 507 of the family's 1533-position model. The record is from RNAcentral.
AGUGAACGCUGGCGGUAGGCCUAACACAUGCAAGUCGAACGGCAGCACAGUAAGAGCUUGCUCUUACGGGUGGCGAGUGGCGGACGGGUGAGGAAUACAUCGGAAUCUACUUUUUCGUGGGGGAUAACGUAGGGAAACUUACGCUAAUACCGCAUACGACCUACGGGUGAAAGCAGGGGAUCUUCGGACCUUGCGCGAUUGAAUGAGCCGAUGUCGGAUUAGCUAGUUGGCGGGGUAAAGGCCCACCAAGGCGACGAUCCGUAGCUGGUCUGAGAGGAUGAUCAGCCACACUGGAGCAGAGACACGGUCCAGACUCCUAAGCGAGGCAGCAGUGGGGAACAUUCGACAAUGUGCGCAAGUCUCAACCAGCCAUACCGCGUUGGUGAAGCAGGCUUUCGCGUUUUAAAGCCUUUUUGUCGGGAAAGAAAAGCAGCAGGUUAAUACCACGCUGUUCUGACGGUACCUAAAGAAUAAGCUCCGGCUAACUUCGUG